This 497-nucleotide ribosomal RNA is filed under the name uncultured bacterium. RNAcentral's name for it is "partial 16S ribosomal RNA". It matches the Rfam family "Bacterial small subunit ribosomal RNA", at positions 28 to 507 of the family's 1533-position model. The record is from RNAcentral.
GAUGAACGCUGGCGGCGUGCCUAAUACAUGCAAGUCGAGCGAACAGAUCAGGAGCUUGCUCCUUUGACGUUAGCGGCGGACGGGUGAGUAACACGUGGUUAACCUACCUAUAAGACUGGGAUAACUUCGGGAAACCGGAGCUAAUACCGGAUAACAUUUGGAACCGCAUGGUUCUAAAGUGAAAGAUGGUUUUGCUAUCACUUAUAGAUGGACCCGCGCCGUAUUAGCUAGUUGGUAAGGUAACGGCUUACCAAGGCGACGAUACGUAGCCGACCUGAGAGGGUGAUCGGCCACACUGGAACGGAGACACGGUCCAGACUCCUACGGGAGGCAGCAGUAGGGAAUCUUCAGCAAUGGGCGAAAGCCUGACGGAGCAACGCCGCGUGAGUGAUGAAGGGUUUCGGCUCGUAAAACUCUGUUAUUAGGGAAGAACAAAUGUGUAAGUAACUGUGCACGUCUUGACGGUACCUAAUCAGAAAGCCACGGCUAACUACGUG